Molecule: ribosomal RNA, 481 nt
Filed under: uncultured bacterium
Lineage: Bacteria
Description: partial 16S ribosomal RNA
Rfam family: Bacterial small subunit ribosomal RNA
Source: RNAcentral
GAUGAACGCUGGCGUCGUGCUUAACACAUGCAAGUCGAACGAAACACCUUAUUUGAUUUUCUUCGGAACUGAAGAUUUGGUGAUUGAGUGGCGGACGGGUGAGUAACGCGUGGGUAACCUGCCCUGUACAGGGGGAUAACAGUCAGAAAUGACUGCUAAUACCGCAUAAGACCACAGCACCGCAUGGUGCAGGGGUAAAAACUCCGGUGGUACAGGAUGGACCCGCGUCUGAUUAGCUGGUUGGUGAGGUAACGGCUCACCAAGGCGACGAUCAGUAGCCGGCUUGAGAGAGUGAACGGCCACAUUGGGACUGAGACACGGCCCAAACUCCUACGGGAGGCAGCAGUGGGGAAUAUUGCACAAUGGGGGAAACCCUGAUGCAGCGACGCCGCGUGAGUGAAGAAGUAUUUCGGUAUGUAAAGCUCUAUCAGCAGGGAAGAAAAUGACGGUACCUGACUAAGAAGCCCCGGCUAACUACGUG